UUGCUCUCUGGGUGGCGAGUGGCGGACGGGUGAGGAAUACAUCGGAAUCUACCUUUUCGUGGGGGAUAACGUAGGGAAACUUACGCUAAUACCGCAUACGACCUACGGGUGAAAGUGGGGGACCGCAAGGCCUCACGCGAUUAGAUGAGCCGAUGUCCGAUUAGCUAGUUGGCGGGGUAAUGGCCCACCAAGGCGACGAUCGGUAGCUGGUCUGAGAGGAUGAUCAGCCACACUGGAACUGAGACACGGUCCAGACUCCUACGGGAGGCAGCAGUGGGGAAUAUUGGACAAUGGGCGCAAGCCUGAUCCAGCCAUACCGCGUGGGUGAAGAAGGCCUUCGGGUUGUAAAGCCCUUUUGUUGGGAAAGAAAUCCUAUCGGUUAAUAACCG
RNAcentral lists this ribosomal RNA (389 nucleotides) under Pseudoxanthomonas sp. '14.5 MW-25'. Its description in RNAcentral is "bacterial SSU rRNA". It matches the Rfam family "Bacterial small subunit ribosomal RNA", at positions 76 to 467 of the family's 1533-position model. The record is from RNAcentral. Lineage: Bacteria; Pseudomonadati; Pseudomonadota; Gammaproteobacteria; Lysobacterales; Lysobacteraceae.